AAGUGUGGGGAGGGCGGUGCUCAGCUACCACCCGACCCAU
RNAcentral lists this ribosomal RNA (40 nucleotides) under Chlorophytum comosum. RNAcentral describes it as "partial 18S ribosomal RNA". Lineage: Eukaryota; Viridiplantae; Streptophyta; Magnoliopsida; Asparagales; Asparagaceae. The record is from RNAcentral.